This is a long non-coding RNA of Aegilops tauschii subsp. strangulata, 2802 nucleotides long. RefSeq lists it as uncharacterized. The record is from RefSeq and is a predicted model, not a curated record. Lineage: Eukaryota; Viridiplantae; Streptophyta; Magnoliopsida; Poales; Poaceae.
UCUCUUCCCCACGAAGCAACCUCUACCCCUCUCCUCGUUUCUCUCCUCCGCCUCUUCCUCCAGGGGCGGCUGCAGAGGGAUGGGAGUCAAGGGGGCAAGCAGGAUGGGUGGCCAGCUGAUUUCUUCGCCGGAUCUCCCAGCUAGGGUUGCCGUCGCGGCCGUGCCUUCCCGUCUUUGUGUUCCAGCCGGCCUCCAUGGUGGUUGCAGGGGAGAGGGAGAAAGGGGAUGACAUCGAGGAGCUCCGCCCACUUCUUCGUGCGCGGCGGCUGAUGCAGCAACGCCUCCAUCUCCACGAUUGCAGCAUCGGUGCUCCACAGUGCGGUCACCGUCUUCCUCGGCAGGAGCAGCGCACCCGUUGUUGCCGUCAAGCGCUGCUUCGCCUCUACCGUCCCUAACUCAGCCAUCGCCGGAGGCCUGCACUUCCCUAGCCCUCUUCUUCCUGGAAGGUUCAUACCACUGAAUGUGGAAAGUAUAUGUUGGAACCAUCAAAGGUCAAAACUGAAGCAGAAGAAUGUGAUACCUAUGAGGAAACCGGUGAGGAGCCUGUAGCUAUGAUAGAAGAAUCUCCACCUGAUAUUGGACAAGAUGGAAGGUGCGGCGCUGUUCCUCUCCACGGCCCCAUCGGUAAGGCGGCGACAAGAGCGAGCAGGGGGCGGCGCCGCGAGCUCUCGUCCCGAGGAAGCCGCAUGAGGACAAGGUCGAUGUGGUCGUCCGUGCCUCCUCCAUCGCAGGCGGCCAUGAUUGAGGGGAAGGAGGUAUCGUCAGCUACGUGCCCAAGCUCGCCACGGACGUCGGCGAGGACAACCUUCCCUUCAUCUCUGCUAGACCCACAAGUCCAUCUCUCUCUCUCUCUCUCAAUUUGGGAAUGUUUCGAAGUGGAACAACAAACCUUGAUGAUUUGGGUUGGUGUUCAAGGGGAGGCAGAUCUGGUGAAGUUGUCGAAGCUCCACCAAAGCUAUCAUUCUCAAAGCGCACUGUUACCGAGUUUUUGAUGGCUGAGGUUGGCAUCUAUGCAAGGGUGUAAAGCAUCUUGGGAUCAUAAUAAUGUGUAAAAUUCAGAGUUUAUUGAGCAUGAUCAUCACCGAAAAGUAGAAAUGCAUUUGACAAAUGGCAUCAAAUAAUUUGAAACAUUGGAUUUCUGAUUCACGUGGUAUCAAAUGGUAUCCUGCUCUUUUGAGAUUUCUGAUUCACAUCGAUUUCUGAUUUGAAACAUUGGAUUUCUGAUUCACAUGGAUUUUUGAGAAGUAGAAAUGCAUUUUACAAAUGGCAUCCUGCUCUUUUGUUUGUUUGAUCCGAUUGGCACUGCCGGGUCACAAGGCAGUGAACUGCAUGCUGUGGCUGCCAAUACCAAGAAGCAUGUACUCCAAGGUCUGCUACCUCCUUUCUACACCUAUGUCCCUCUUAAUUCUCUUUCUGUUGCACCUGAACAUCUGAACUGAAAUGAUUAGCUAGAAUAAUCAUGCUGAAACAAAAUCAUGUCUUGUACGGUUUCUGAUGCUCUAAGCUACAUUUUGAAGCAAGAAUUAGAGUAUCAUCCUGAGACGAUUGUCUUAAUGAAUAAUUGGUGGGACUCAAGAGGAGGUAGCUAUAGAUACAUAGCACCAGUAUACAUCAAGCAAAAGAAGGUUAUAUAUAUAUAUACACAUGUGUUUAAUGGUUUAGUUCAUCUAUGCUUUUAAUUUUAUUAUUUUUACCAAAUAGUGGGGUUAUAGUUAUUCCCGAGGUCCUUGUGGAGAGUAUUCUUAAUUGUAUUUGUUGCUUUAGGUACCCGUUUAUAUGUCUUAUGAGUAUUCACCUACAGGUUGAUAUAUUACAAGAUAUUUAUACAUGUUUCUCAAGUAUUUUCACUAAAACUAUGCAUGCUGUCAUACAGAGACGCUAACAAAUACGACAUCAUGAUUAGUGCGCACAAUUCCGCCUCAAGAGACGCGCCCGGGGCGCGUCCCAGCCCCUAGUGUAUCUCACAAUUGUGGUGUCAAACAUUCUUUUUUGGAUUGUAUGGCAAGGUGGCUUACUCCCAAGUGUUUAUAAAUUCCCAAUAAGUUGAGGGAAGUCUUACAAAACUAACAUAAAAUAAACGGGUGUAUAGAUUUACCAUUCUCUACUUCUUGAAUGAAAAAAAUCAAUAGCUUAGUAUAUGUCCAUCUCAAAAUAGCGCCAAGUGAGACAAUGUCACUGCCUACAAACCCAAAAUAGCAACAGACCAGAAUCAUGUAAACAAUGACUACCAUGUACAAGUACAACCAACACCCAAUUCAUAAAGUGAACUCUCACAUAGUGUUCCAGAACAAGAAUUGCAUGCCUAUAACAGGUCAAGAAAUAAACACACACAUGUUCCAGCCAUAUAUAUCAGUCAACGUCAAUUUUAUGAAUUAAUGAACAUAUAUUUUUUAAAUAAAACGUUCAAAUAGUAGAGGGUGAUACGUCCAUUUUGCAUCAUGCUUUUAUAUCGAUAUUUAUUGCAUUAUGGGUUGUUAUUACACUUUAUGUCACAAUACUUAUGCCUAUUCUCUCUUAUUUUGCAAGGUUUACAUAAAGAGGGAGAAUGCUGGCAGCCUCUGUUGGAAAAGGCAGUGCCUAGAAGGCGCUUAGGCACGCCUAGGCGCUAGGCGAUGGCCAACCGCCUCGCCUAGGGCAUAAAUGGAAGUCUAGGCAGGGCAAGCAAGGAAUUGUUUACCCAAGUGAAGAAUCAUGCCAAAUUGUACUGGUAUACCAAACGGGCCAAAUUCCAAUGGGAGUAGCUGGAAAUUAACUUAUUUAUUUGCAGUAAAUUAAUAUCUACAAACAUAUAAUACUCACAAA